CCUACGGGGGGCUGCAGUGGGGAAUAUUGCGCAAUGGGCGAAAGCCUGACGCAGCGACGCCGCGUGAGGGAUGAAGGUCUUCGGAUUGUAAACCUCUGUCAGCAGGGAAGAAAGGUCACUGUGCUAAUCAGCAGUGAAUUGACGGUACCUGCACAGGAAGCACCGGCUAACUCCGUGCCAGCAGCCGCGGUAAUACGGCGGGUGCGAGCGUUAAUCGGAAUUACUGGGCGUAAAGCGCUCGUAGGCGGUAUGGCAAGUCUAGGGUGAAAGCCCCGCGCUCAACGUGGGAACUGCCUUUGAAACUGGCAAGCUGGAGUGUGUGAGAGGAAAGUGGAAUUCCAGGUGUAGGAGUGAAAUCCGUAGAUAUCUGGAGGAACAUCAGUGGCGAAGGCGACUAUCUGGCACAUAACUGACGCUGAGGAUCGAAAGCGUGGGUAGCAAACAGGAUUAGAUACCCGGGUAGUC
RNAcentral lists this ribosomal RNA (465 nucleotides) under uncultured bacterium. Its description in RNAcentral is "partial 16S ribosomal RNA". It matches the Rfam family "Bacterial small subunit ribosomal RNA", at positions 338 to 795 of the family's 1533-position model. The record is from RNAcentral.